RNAcentral lists this ribosomal RNA (377 nucleotides) under uncultured bacterium. RNAcentral's name for it is "bacterial SSU rRNA". It matches the Rfam family "Bacterial small subunit ribosomal RNA", at positions 521 to 896 of the family's 1533-position model. The record is from RNAcentral.
UAACACGGGGGGAGCAAGCGUUGUUCGGAAUCACUGGGCGUAAAGGGCGUGUAGGCGGUUGAGUAAGUGGAAUGUGAAAUCCCUCGGCUUACCCGAGGACCUGCAUCCCAUACUGCUCGACUUGAGUACGGGAGAGGAUGAGGGAAUUCCUGGUGUAGCGGUGAAAUGCGUAGAUAUCAGGAGGAACACCGGUGGCGAAGGCGCUCAUCUGGCCCGAUACUGACGCUGAGGCGCGAAAGCUAGGGUAGCGAACGGGAUUAGAUACCCCGGUAGUCCUAGCCGUAAACGGUGAUCACUAGGUGUUGGAGGCAUCGACCCCUCCAGUGCCGCAGCUAACGCAUUAAGUGAUCCGCCUGGGGAGUACGGCCGCAAGGUUG